Molecule: long non-coding RNA, 732 nt
Organism: Oncorhynchus tshawytscha (Chinook salmon)
Lineage: Eukaryota; Metazoa; Chordata; Actinopteri; Salmoniformes; Salmonidae
Source: Ensembl
CCCCAGCCCAGAUUAACAGAACAGUAUAAGGUAGAACCAGCCCCAGCCCAGACUAAAUGAUGAGUAUGACGUAGAACCAGCUCCAGCCCAGACUAACAGAACAGUAUGAGGUAGAACCAGCCCAGACUAACAGAACAGCAUGAGGUAGAAUCAGCCAAGACUAAAAUAACAGUAUGUGGUAGUACCAACCCAGACCCAGACUAACAGAACAGCAUGAGGUAGACCCAGCCCCAGCCCAGACUAACAGAACAGUAUGAGGUAGAACCACCCCCAGUGCAGACUAACAGAACAGUAUGUGGUAGUACCAAACCCAGCCCAGACUAACAGAACAGUAUGUGGUAGUACCAGCCCCAGCCCAGACUAACAGAACAGCAUGAGGUAGAACCAGCCCCAGCCCAGAAUAACAGAACAGCAUGAUGUAGAACCAGCCCCAGCCCAGACUAAAAGAACAGUAUGAGGUAGAACCACCCCCAGCGCAGACUAACAGAACAGUAUGAGGGAGAAUCAGCCAAGACUAAAAUAACAGUAUGUGGUUGUACCAACCCAGACCCAGACUAACAGAAUAGCAUGAGGUAGACCCAGCCCCAGCCCAGACUAACAGAACAGUAUGACGUAGAACCCGCCCCAGCCCAGACUAACAGAACAGUAUGAGGUAGAACCACCCCAGCGCAGACUAACAGAACAGUAUGAGGGAGAACCAGCCACAGCCCAGACUAACAGAACAGUAUGAGG